RNAcentral lists this ribosomal RNA (500 nucleotides) under uncultured bacterium. RNAcentral describes it as "partial 16S ribosomal RNA". It matches the Rfam family "Bacterial small subunit ribosomal RNA", at positions 30 to 523 of the family's 1533-position model. The record is from RNAcentral.
AUUGAACGCUGGCGGCAUGCCUUACACAUGCAAGUCGAACGGCAGCACGGGAGCAAUCCUGGUGGCGAGUGGCGAACGGGUGAGUAAAGUAUCGGAACGUGCCCAGUCGUGGGGGAUAACGUAGCGAAAGUUACGCCAAUACCGCAUACGAUCUAUGGAUGAAAGCGGGGGAUCGCGAGACCUCGCGCGAUUGGAGCGGCCGAUAUCAGAUUAGGUAGUUGGUGGGGUAAAGGCUCACCAAGCCGACGGUCUGUAGCUGGUCUGAGAGGACGACCAGCCACACUGGGACUGAGACACGGCCCAGACUCCUACGGGAGGCAGCAGUGGGGAAUUUUGGACAAUGGGCGCAAGCCUGAUCCAGCCAUGCCGCGUGCAGGAUGGAGGCCUUCGGGUUGUAAACUGCUUUUGUACGGAACGAAAAGGUUUGACUUAAUACGUUGGACUCAUGACGGUACCGUAAGAAUAAGCACCGGCUAACUACGUGCCAGCCGCCGCCGUAA